CGCGUAGGUGGUUUGGUAAGCGAGAUGUGAAAGCCCCGGGCUUAACCUGGGAACGGCAUUUCGAACUGUCAGACUAGAGUGUGGUAGAGGGUAGUGGAAUUUCCUGUGUAGCGGUGAAAUGCGUAGAUAUAGGAAGGAACACCAGUGGCGAAGGCGGCUUACCUGGACCAACACUGACACUGAGGUGCGAAAGCGUGGGGAGCAAACA
Molecule: ribosomal RNA, 208 nt
Filed under: uncultured bacterium
Lineage: Bacteria
Description: partial 16S ribosomal RNA
Rfam family: Bacterial small subunit ribosomal RNA
Source: RNAcentral